This 504-nucleotide ribosomal RNA is filed under the name Fusarium sp. F16-1. Its description in RNAcentral is "eukaryotic LSU rRNA". The stretch from base 134 to 287 matches the Rfam family "5.8S ribosomal RNA". The record is from RNAcentral. Lineage: Eukaryota; Fungi; Ascomycota; Sordariomycetes; Hypocreales; Nectriaceae.
GCCAAACCCCUGUGACAUACCAAUUGUUGCCUCGGCGGAUCAGCCCGCUCCCGGUAAAACGGGACGGCCCGCCAGAGGACCCCUAAACUCUGUUUCUAUAUGUAACUUCUGAGUAAAACCAUAAAUAAAUCAAAACUUUCAACAACGGAUCUCUUGGUUCUGGCAUCGAUGAAGAACGCAGCAAAAUGCGAUAAGUAAUGUGAAUUGCAGAAUUCAGUGAAUCAUCGAAUCUUUGAACGCACAUUGCGCCCGCCAGUAUUCUGGCGGGCAUGCCUGUUCGAGCGUCAUUUCAACCCUCAAGCCCCCGGGUUUGGUGUUGGGGAUCGGCGAGCCCUUGCGGCAAGCCGGCCCCGAAAUCUAGUGGCGGUCUCGCUGCAGCUUCCAUUGCGUAGUAGUAAAACCCUCGCAACUGGUACGCGGCGCGGCCAAGCCGUUAAACCCCCAACUUCUGAAUGUUGACCUCGGAUCAGGUAGGAAUACCCGCUGAACUUAAGCAUAUCAAAG